ACCUCACCUUUAGUAGUCUUUAUAUACCGCCGUUGAAAGGUAAUUUUGAAGAAAAAAGAUACGAGCGUGAUGUAUAUUUUGGAAAAUUUUAUACAGGAAUUCAGGUACACGUAUAGGAUCUAAAGGGUUUAGCUGAGUUACAAUUAUAAAAUAAGACGGAUUUGCUAAUGAAAUAUUAACAGGAAGGUGUACUUAUUAGUAAAUUUUUAUAAGAGAGGAAAGUUGAAUAGGGUAAUUGGAGUGCGUACAAAUCGCCCGAUAUCCUACGUGUUAAAUCGAGGUAAGUCGUAACAUAGUAAUGCUAAUAUAAAUUGGUGUUAUAUAGAAGGUAAGCUAAAUGGAGCUGUUUGGGUAAUACCCAUACUGUAGAAUAAUAUUCUUCUUUUAUAUAGAAGGGUAGGAUAAAAUAGAAAAUUUUACUAAGGAAGAAGGUUAAAUGAAUGUAUUUAGUAUUUAAAUAUUAAAUUGAAGUAAAUUGCGACGAAGCAAUAUUGGUAGUGUAAUUAAUGUUGUGUAAAAGAUAAACUAAGUAAAGUUAUUUGGUUCAUACCCAUAUUAUAGAAUUAAUAUUCUUCUUUUUAAAGGCCUUGUAACUUAGUAAAGUUCUAAAUUGCAGUCUUAGAAAAGGAGUUGUUCCCCUGGUCUGAAAGUUGAAUAGGCGGCUGUAGAAGUGUUAAGUUGUAACCUUAAUUAUAGGUAUUUACCUCCUUUUUAUUAGGAAGAAAAGGAACUAUAGCAGUGAGGUUUAUAAUUUGUGAUUUAAUUUGUUUUAAUGAGUGUUCUUAUUGUGGUAGUUUUUAGAGUACUGUUAGAAUCAAGUAAUGGAAAGAAUUAUAUUUUAAAAGUAUUUUUUUAAAGUGUGG
This 863-nucleotide ribosomal RNA is filed under the name Ectenagena elongata. Its description in RNAcentral is "12S ribosomal RNA". The record is from RNAcentral. Lineage: Eukaryota; Metazoa; Mollusca; Bivalvia; Venerida; Vesicomyidae.